CUUUCAGUCAUUGGGGAGUAGCCUGUUCCAAAACAUUUUUGGAAAAUUCGUAUCAACAUACUCGUUUUCAACAAAACGUGGUACGAGUGCCUGAAGAGUCUAACAAAAAUAAGCUCUGAAUCGGUUGGCAAGACCAUAGACACAUGACACCACCAUUGGUUGGGUGUGGGUUAUGUGUAUAUGGAAUCACCCAGCCGAGGC
Molecule: small RNA, 201 nt
Filed under: Xenorhabdus bovienii
Lineage: Bacteria; Pseudomonadati; Pseudomonadota; Gammaproteobacteria; Enterobacterales; Morganellaceae
Description: Manganese sequence
Rfam family: Manganese Mn2+ riboswitch aptamer (yybP-ykoY)
About the family: This RNA was originally discovered in E. coli during a large scale screen and was named SraF. The family was later found to exist upstream of related families of protein genes in many bacteria, including the the yybP and ykoK genes in B. subtilis.
Source: RNAcentral